GGAAAUGUUGGUACUAUUCCAUUGUGACAAAUGGUAUCUUAGUGGGGCAAAGAGACAUUCCUUCUACAACUCCAAAACAACCAACGUAAAAGAUGUAGAGAGGCCUAACUCAGAAGGAGAGAGGAAGCGGAUCACUAUAUAAUCUAUUCAAUUUCAAUUUCAAAAGAUGCUGCUGCUGAUCAAAGGAUACUUAUCUGUUCUAUCAACGCUGGGAGACACAACAUGGCAAGACAGCAGAUUAUUGCACAGAAGGGACUGACUUCUGUAUACAGGACACAGAAAUAAGAAGAAACUGAAGCACAAGGAGUUCCUAUUAAGUGCACAUUGCUGAAGAUGCAGCGGACACGGUCUCUACUCUCGUGGAGCUAAUUAUGAAAUUAAGAUAAAAUUCCAACUGCAAUCAUCACAGCAAUGAAGACUUACAACAAUUAUGAGAUUCCACAACAGUAGUAUGUGAUUAAGUUGUAUCGGUCUCAGGAGACUGGUUUGAGAUAAAGAGGAGAGAAAAAAUAAUAUCCUGGGCAGAAGGAAUCACAGAUGCAAAGAACCUGUGGCCAAAGACAUCAUGUGGCUGGCUGGCAAGAGGAAGGGCCAGCCUGGAGAAAGAAGCUUCUGGAAGGUAGACAGGAGCCAGAACAAGCAGGACUUUGUAGCCUGUAUUAAGAAGAUUUGUGUUAUCAUUAUAAGCAAUGCAAACCCACUGAAGCAAAACCCAGAUAAACAUUGACUUAAAUGCAAUUAAAGGCAGGAGUGUAGUAUUUGCCUAAUUAUAAUAAGCCUUGGUUUUCAAAAGAGCCCUUUGUUUUGAGGAUCACAAGUAGAUUGAAAGAAGGACAGAAUGAAAUGAAGAAUUAUGAGAUAUUGCAGGAGACCAAGCUGAAUGCUGAUUUGUGACUUUGAUUAGGAUAUUGCUGGAGAUAGACGUCUAUCUAGAAAUAUUUUUUUCAAAAAAGAUAGAUAGGAAUUGGUGAUGAAUUGGAUGUGGUUGGGGGUACUAGAAGGGAGUUGCCAAAAAGGGAUGCUAAGGUUAUUCCUAGGUUUCUGAUUUGUACAACCGGAAAAAUAAUCAUAACUUUCACUGAGAAGAGAGACAUUGAAUAAGGAGCAAGGGUAGGAUCAUGAGUUUUGCUCCAGGUGUUGAAUUUGAGGUGCUUUUGAAAGACAAACAAGAGAAGACAAGCAGACAGUGGAAUAAUAAGUCUAAAGAGAGCUCUCAACUAGACAUGGUCAUCGAAGCCAUAAUUGUGAAUGAUGUUUACCUAUGCAUACAUAGAGGAAGGGAAGACAUAGAAACCAGCCUUCAGUAUGCCGGUAUUUAAUGACUUAGUAUAUAAACCUCAGUAGAUAAUAGUUGUAGAAGGAAGAAUUUCAUUAAUAAGUCAAAUAAAUAUUGAUAUUCUUAGAUUGUAAUUGGAGCAGGAUCAGCAUUUGGCAA
Molecule: long non-coding RNA, 1435 nt
Filed under: Homo sapiens (human)
Lineage: Eukaryota; Metazoa; Chordata; Mammalia; Primates; Hominidae
Description: HSALNT0269217
Source: RNAcentral